CAGGUGGUGCAUGGUUGUCGUCAGCUCGUGUCGUGAGAUGUUGGGUUAAGUCCCGCAACGAGCGCAACCCUUAAGCUUAGUUGCCAGCAUUAAGUUGGGCACUCUAAGUUGACUGCCGGUGACAAACCGGAGGAAGGUGGGGAUGACGUCAAAUCAUCAUGCCCCUUAUGAUUUGGGCUACACACGUGCUACAAUGGACAAUACAAAGGGCAGCUAAACCGUGAGGUCAUGCAAAUCCCAUAAAGUUGUUCUCAGUUCGGAUUGUAGUCUGCAACUCGACUACAUGAAGCUGGAAUCGCUAGUAAUCGUAGAUCAGCAUGCUACGGUGAAUACGUUCCCGGGUCUUGUACACACCGCCCGUCACACCACGAGAGUCUGUAACACCCGAAGCCGGUGGAGUAACCAUUUAUGGAGCUAGCCGUCGAAGGUGGGACAAAUGAUUGGGGUGAAGUCGUAACAAGGUAGCCGUAUCGGAAGGUGCGGUUGGAUCACCUC
Molecule: ribosomal RNA, 495 nt
Filed under: uncultured bacterium
Lineage: Bacteria
Description: bacterial SSU rRNA
Rfam family: Bacterial small subunit ribosomal RNA
Source: RNAcentral